CCUAACCCGUCGCCAUUAAAGGAGUGUUUCCGCCUCAUCCACAUCUCCACCUCUAUACACAAUAUAAGAUGGAGCUUGUUGUGGCAUACAUUUUCAAUCGCAGACUGUGCAGAGAAAGGAGAUAUCGGGACCCACUCGACCCACUACAUGUCAGUGAUGAACACCUGUUGCAGAUGUAUAGAUUUCCCCAUCAGGAAAUCAUCAGGCUCUGUGAUGAGUUACGCCCCCACCUGGAAAGGAGAACCAGGAGGGCACAUGCACUCCCAACACACACCCAGGUUCUGGCUACACUAAGGUUUUUGCGAGUGGCAGCUUUCAAGGUGUUAUUGGAAACGGUGUUGGAAAUGACCAAUCAAGGGCCAUUGAUAAAGUAACUCGGGUACUUUGUGAAAAGGCCAGUCAUGAGAUAAAGAUGUCAACCACAGCAAUAGAUAUUAAUAGAAUUUUUAAGAUAGUUUUCAUGCAUUUCAUAAUGAUAAAUAAUGGAUUAAUGAAUUUUCAACUUCACAGGAGACACUGCAUAUCCUCUGGAGCCAUUCCUGAUGACCCCAGUUGCACGCCCGACAACACCUGGGGAGGAACGAUACAAUAAGUCAUCACAGGACAAGAUGCGUUGUUGAACGGACCUUUGGGAUCCUCAAGUCAAGGUGCAGGUGCCUACAUAAGUCAGGAGGAAGUUUGCAGUAUGACCCCAAGACUAUGAAGAUUGCGACUUCUUGUAUGCUCCUGCACAACGACUGAGUGGAUCGCUGCAGAAGAAGUACCAGUUCAGCCUGUAAGAAACAACAGACUGAUUCCUGGUCAAGUUGUCAGGCAGGAAAUUAUUUGAAACUUCUUUUCCCGAGUAUAGAUUGCGUAUGGUGCACCGGUGGCCGAGUGGUCAGCGUGUGUACGUGGUGAUCCAGAGGACUCGACUCCCACUGCAAGACGCUGAGAGUUUUCAACCAUUGACAAGUGGUGGAGGGUUACCAACAUGCUGCCCAGCAGAUCUUCAGUCAACCCUAACUUCAGCGUCUUUGAUCGAGAGGGGCACCAUCUCCACACCACACAUUCUUGUCACCUAGUAUGAUACCCUACUUGUCCAUCUCACAUGCCCCAUGUAUCUCAGCAUUCUGCACUCUUGGCUCCAUGUCAUCCUCUCCAACUUGUUGCUUCGUAUAGCAUAACCGGCCUCACAUACAUAGAAGUGUUCAAUAUACCUAGGCUAUAAUAUUAUAUUUAAGGACUCUUAUACAAGGUAUCGUCCCAUACAGAGGUGUCGAAGUAAGUCUGUCUGAUGGUAGGCAGGCUGACUGCUGUCGGGACCCAAGCCAGCAUGCCCUGGGGGUUGUGUGCGGGAGGAGGAAAGAGGGAAAAGGACAAAUGGUGUGUGUGUCAUUAUCAGGGGUAACCACGGUGGAGUGCAAACACUCAGUAGUUGUAGUCAAGGCUUAAUUAAGUUGAUGAGUGGUGUUAGACUGAAUGAGCAGGUUUUGUACCACAUGUUAACGGGAACACUUGAUAGGUUUUCUUCGUGUGUUGGUGCUACUUGUUUCUUGUGUUUACAUGUUAGUUUAUAAUUAGACUAAGUUCUAAGUGUUAUGAGCGGCAAUUUAGUCUUGUAUGGCUGAAUCCUGUCCCUUGACCCUUAAUUCAUCAUCAGAAUCUCUAAACAAAUAUAUUUACCUUAAGUAAUAUUCUUAAAGUCACGCUACCCAUAUUAUUUGGCAGAUGAUAAUCCUGUGUGCGAUAACGGUGCCUUAUAAGACUUGGUAAAUAAACUACUAAUUUUACUUUCUGGUUUAAGUGAUCAACAAUUAAUUCUACUUUGAGGUAUAAUUAACCAACAUUAUUAAGGAGUGCCCAUGCCAGGCACGACAUUAAGAAUAUUUUUCUGUUGACCAGCAGACUUACUAUAGUCAAACCAUUUCAAAAUGUCUGUUGAGGCAGUGGCUUCUGCAGGUCCUUUCCUCCCUUCUGCUUUGCCACACAGUUCCAAUUACCUAUUUCCUCUGUUUCCUGUCCCCUCUUUCACAAACUGGGCACCUAUAAUGCACCCCUACUUGAUUAACAUUUCUCAGCCCUGAGCAUCUCUUUGUGGCACCACUUAUCACCCCCUGUGCACAGGGCAGAGUUAGUAGCCAUUUCUCUUCCACACCAACUACCUUCCUGUAUAUAUGAUUUCUCAAUAAUUACUUAUUUGUUGUGCUGUAUUAGCUGUUACAUUCUACAUCAAGCUGUAAUAUCUACCCAAGCUGCAGGUUAAUCCAAUAAAAAAAAAAAGUGAAUGACUAAGUCAUGUGUU
Eriocheir sinensis (Chinese mitten crab) is the source of this 2284-nucleotide long non-coding RNA. RefSeq lists it as uncharacterized. The record is from RefSeq and is a predicted model, not a curated record. NCBI's taxonomy places the organism in Eukaryota, Metazoa, Arthropoda, Malacostraca, Decapoda, Varunidae. The transcript is spliced from 3 exons.